AUUGAACGCUGGCGGCAUGCUUUACACAUGCAAGUCGAACGGUAACAGGCCGCAAGGUGCUGACGAGUGGCGAACGGGUGAGUAAUGCAUCGGAACGUGCCCAGUCGUGGGGGAUAACUACUCGAAAGAGUAGCUAAUACCGCAUACGAUCUAUGGAUGAAAGCGGGGGACCGUAAGGCCUCGCGCGAUUGGAGCGGCCGAUGUCAGAUUAGGUAGUUGGUGGGGUAAAGGCUCACCAAGCCAACGAUCUGUAGCUGGUCUGAGAGGACGACCAGCCACGCUGGGACUGAGACACGGCCCAGACUCCUACGGGAGGCAGCAGUGGGGAAUUUUGGACAAUGGGCGCAAGCCUGAUCCAGCAAUGCCGCGUGCAGGAAGAAGGCCUUCGGGUUGUAAACUGCUUUUGUACGGAGCGAAACGGCUCUGGUUAAUACCCGGGGCUAAUGACGGUACCGUAAGAAUAAGCACCGGCUAACUACGUG
RNAcentral lists this ribosomal RNA (482 nucleotides) under uncultured bacterium. Its description in RNAcentral is "partial 16S ribosomal RNA". It matches the Rfam family "Bacterial small subunit ribosomal RNA", at positions 30 to 507 of the family's 1533-position model. The record is from RNAcentral.